AACAUGACGCUGGCGGCAGGCUUACACAUGCAAGUCGAGCGGGGGAAGGUAGCUUGCUACUGGACCUAGCGGCGGACGGUGAGUAAUGCUUAGGAAUCUGCCUAUUAGUGGGGGACAACAUCUCGAAAGGGAUGCUAAUACCGCAUACGUCCUACGGGAGAAAGCGGGGGAUCUUCGGACCUUGCGCUAAUAGAUGAGCCUAAGUCGGAUUAGCUAGUUGGUGGGGUAAAGGCCUACCAAGGCGACGAUCUGUAGCGGGUCUGAGAGGAUGAUCCGCCACACUGGGACUGAGACACGGCCCAGACUCCUACGGGAGGCAGCAGUGGGGAAUAUUGGACAAUGGGCGCAAGCCUGAUCCAGCCAUGCCGCGUGUGUGAAGAAGGCCUUAUGGUUGUAAAGCACUUUAAGCGAGGAGGAGGCUACUUUAGAUAAUACCUAGAGAUAGUGGACGUUACUCGCAGAAUAAGCACCGGCUAACUCUGUGCCAGCAGCCGCGGUAAUACAGAGGGUUGCAGCGUUAUC
This 522-nucleotide ribosomal RNA is filed under the name uncultured Acinetobacter sp. RNAcentral describes it as "bacterial SSU rRNA". It matches the Rfam family "Bacterial small subunit ribosomal RNA", at positions 33 to 541 of the family's 1533-position model. The record is from RNAcentral. Lineage: Bacteria; Pseudomonadati; Pseudomonadota; Gammaproteobacteria; Moraxellales; Moraxellaceae.